This 93-nucleotide transfer RNA is filed under the name Pseudomonadota bacterium. RNAcentral describes it as "tRNA-Thr". It matches the Rfam family "tRNA". Rfam says of the family: Transfer RNA (tRNA) molecules are approximately 80 nucleotides in length. Their secondary structure includes four short double-helical elements and three loops (D, anti-codon, and T loops). Lineage: Bacteria; Pseudomonadati; Pseudomonadota. The record is from RNAcentral.
GGUUCCGUAGCUCAGCUGGAGUCCCUCAGAAGACGUAGAGCGCUGGAAUUCGUAAUCUGGAGGUCGGGGGUUCGAGUCCUCCCGGGACCGCCA